RNAcentral lists this ribosomal RNA (254 nucleotides) under uncultured bacterium. RNAcentral's name for it is "partial 16S ribosomal RNA". It matches the Rfam family "Bacterial small subunit ribosomal RNA", at positions 524 to 776 of the family's 1533-position model. The record is from RNAcentral.
UACGUAGGGUGCGAGCGUUGUCCGGAAUUAUUGGGCGUAAAGAGCUCGUAGGCGGUGUGUCACGUCGGCCGUGAAAACCUGCAGCUUAACCGUGGGCGUGCGGUCGAUACGGGCAUCACUGGAGUUCGGCAGGGGAGACUGGAAUUCCCGGUGUAGCGGUGAAAUGCGCAGAUAUCGGGAGGAACACCAGUGGCGAAGGCGGCACUCUGGGCCGGAACUGACGCUGAGGAGCGAAAGCGUGGGGAGCGAACAGG